This 518-nucleotide ribosomal RNA is filed under the name uncultured Chloroflexota bacterium. Its description in RNAcentral is "bacterial SSU rRNA". It matches the Rfam family "Bacterial small subunit ribosomal RNA", at positions 362 to 896 of the family's 1533-position model. The record is from RNAcentral. Lineage: Bacteria; Bacillati; Chloroflexota.
UAUUGCACAAUGGGCGAAAGCCUGGUGCAGCAACGCCGCGUGCGGGACGAAGGCCUUCGGGUCGUAAACCGCUUUUCUGAGGGACGAGACAGGACGGUACCUCAGGAAUAAGUCUCGGCUAACUACGUGCCAGCAGCCGCGGUAAAACGUAGGAGGCGAGCGUUAUCCGGAUUUACUGGGCGUAAAGCGCGCGCAGGCGGCUUGGUGAGUCGGACGUGAAAGCUCCUGGCUUAACUGGGAGAGGUCGUUCGAUACUGCCCGGCUUGAGGUUGGGAGAGGGGUGCGGAAUUCCCGGUGUAGUGGUGGAAUGCGUAGAUAUCGGGAGGAACACCAGUGGCGAAGGCGGCACCCUGGCCCACACCUGACGCUGAGGUGCGAAAGCGUGGGUAGCAAACAGGAUUAGAUACCCUGGUAGUCCACGCCGUAAACGAUGUCAACUAGGUGUCGGUAGUGUUACACUAGCGGUGCCGUAGCUAACGCGUUAAGUUGACCGCCUGGGGACUACGGCCGCAAAGCUA